AGAGUUUGAUCCUGGCUCAGAACGAACGCUGGCGGCAGGCUUAACACAUGCAAGUCGAACGCCCCGCAAGGGGAGUGGCGCAAGGGUGAGUAACGCGUGGGAAUCUGCCUCUUGGUACGGGAUAACCACGGGAAACUGUGGCUAAUACCGUAUGGUCCCUUCGGGGUAAAGAUUUAUCGCCAAGAGAUGAGCCCGCGUCAGAUUAGCUUGUUGGUGGGGUAACGGCCUACCAAGGCUACGAUCUGUAGCUGGUCUUAGAGGACGAUCAGCCACACUGGAACUGAGACACGGUCCAGACUCCUACGGGAGGCAGCAGUGGGGAAUAUUGGACAAUGGGGGAAACCCUGAUCCAGCCAUGCCGCGUGAGUGAUGAAGGCCUUCGGGUUGUAAAGCUCUUUUGUGAGGGAAGAUGAUGACGGUACCUCAAGAAUAAGCCCCGGCUAACUUCGUGCCAGCAGCCGCGGUAAUACGAAGGGGGCUAGCGUUGUUCGGAAUUACUGGGCGUAAAGGGUGCGUAGGUGGCUUUGCAAGUCAGGAGUGAAAUCCCUGGGCUCAACCCAGGAAUUGCUUUUGAGACUGCAUGGCUUGAGUACAGGAGAGGUGAGUGGAAUCCCCAGUGUAGAGGUAAAAUUCGUAGAUAUUGGGAGGAACACCGGUGGCGAAGGCGGCUCACUGGCCUGUAACUGACACUGAUGCACGAAAGCGUGGGGGGCAAACAGGAUUAGAUACCCUGGUAGUCCACGCCGUAAACUAUGAAUGCUAGUUGUUGGAGGGUUUACCCUUCAGUGACGCCGCUAACGCAUUAAGCAUUCCGCCUGGGGAGUACGGCCGCAAGGUUGAAACUCAAAGGAAUUGACGGGGGCCCGCACAAGCGGUGGAGUAUGUGGUUCAAUUCGACGCAACGCGAAGAACCUUACCAGGCCUUGACAUGCCACGGCGACUUCCAGAGAUGGAUUUCUUCCCGCAAGGGACGUGGACACAGGUGCUGCAUGGCUGUCGUCAGCUCGUGUCGUGAGAUGUUGGGUUAAGUCCCGCAACGAGCGCAACCCUCAUUGUCAGUUGCUACCAGGUUAUGCUGGGCACUCUGAUGAAACUGCCGGUGACAAGCCGGAGGAAGGCGGGGAUGACGUCAAGUCCUCAUGGCCCUUACGGCCUGGGCUACACACGUACUACAAUGGUGGUGACAGUGGGAUGCCAAAGCGCAAGCUGGAGCGAACCCCCAAAAGCCACCUCAGUUCAGAUUGCGCUCUGCAACUCGAGCGCAUGAAGUCGGAAUCGCUAGUAAUCGCGGAUCAGCACGUCGCGGUGAAUACGUUCCCGGGCCUUGUACACACCGCCCGUCACGCCAUGGAAGUUGGUUCUACCUGAAGGCAGUGCGCCAACCGCAAGGAGGCAGCUGACCACGGUAGGGUCAAUGACUGGGGCGAAGUCGUAACAAGGUAGCCGUA
RNAcentral lists this ribosomal RNA (1448 nucleotides) under uncultured bacterium. RNAcentral's name for it is "16S ribosomal RNA". It matches the Rfam family "Bacterial small subunit ribosomal RNA". The record is from RNAcentral.